RNAcentral lists this transfer RNA (74 nucleotides) under Pteropus alecto (black flying fox). It matches the Rfam family "tRNA". Rfam says of the family: Transfer RNA (tRNA) molecules are approximately 80 nucleotides in length. Their secondary structure includes four short double-helical elements and three loops (D, anti-codon, and T loops). Lineage: Eukaryota; Metazoa; Chordata; Mammalia; Chiroptera; Pteropodidae. The record is from Rfam by way of RNAcentral.
GGCUCCAUAGUGUAGUGGUUAGAAUGUCUGCUUUACAAGCAGAAGGUUCUGGGUUCACACCUGAGGUGGAGCCA